RNAcentral lists this ribosomal RNA (464 nucleotides) under Vreelandella stevensii. Its description in RNAcentral is "partial 16S ribosomal RNA". It matches the Rfam family "Bacterial small subunit ribosomal RNA", at positions 338 to 795 of the family's 1533-position model. The record is from RNAcentral. Lineage: Bacteria; Pseudomonadati; Pseudomonadota; Gammaproteobacteria; Oceanospirillales; Halomonadaceae.
CCUACGGGGGGCAGCAGUGGGGAAUAUUGGACAAUGGGCGAAAGCCUGAUCCAGCCAUGCCGCGUGUGUGAAGAAGGCCUUCGGGUUGUAAAGCACUUUCAGUGGGGAAGAAAGCCUUGGGGCUAAUACCCUCGAGGAAGGACAUCACCCACAGAAGAAGCACCGGCUAACUCCGUGCCAGCAGCCGCGGUAAUACGGGGGUGCGAGCGUUAAUCGGAAUUACUGGGCGUAAAGCGCGCGUAGGCGGUCUGAUAAGCCGGUUGUGAAAGCCCCGGGCUCAACCUGGGAACGGCAUCCGGAACUGUCAGGCUAGAGUGCAGGAGAGGAAGGUAGAAUUCCCGGUGUAGCGGUGAAAUGCGUAGAGAUCGGGAGGAAUACCAGUGGCGAAGGCGGCCUUCUGGACUGACACUGACGCUGAGGUGCGAAAGCGUGGGUAGCAAACAGGAUUAGAUACCCCGGUAGUC